UAAUGUAUACUUUAAGGUGUUUAUAAUAUACCAUAAAAAUUUCUAUAAACUAUAUUUUAACAUUAGACUUAUGUGUUUAGAGUACAGAAGUAACCUGAUGAAAAUUAUGAUAGUGACUUACAAGAUUUUAAUGAACAUCAAGAAUUAAAAAAGUCUUGUCUGCAGACACCUGUCUCUGUAUUAAACAAAAGUAAAACGAGAUUGGAAAAAGUGAUCAUAAUUACCUCUGUGAUUAAGGUGAAGGGAGUAGCAGCAAAAAGGGAAGUAGCAAAAAAAUUAAAUUGGACAGGGCAAGGUGAUCUUCAAAAAAAGUCUUUCCGAAUUCUUAAAUUUUGUCAAGUUAUUGAAAAAGCAAUACGAAGAAAUUUGCUGACAAAAGAUACCACACACAGUGAAAUUUAAAAGGCAGUUGUGGCUUUUUUUAUUAGAGCUCUAGACAGAAAUAGAGGCAGAAAAGAAAGAGCAGAAAAAAAGUCCAUCCAAAAAAUCAGUUCAACAAAAAAUCGUGGCUAUACUGGCCAAUCAUUGACAUUGAAACCUUUAUCUGGAUUAUCAUUACCACGAUAUGAAUGCUUUAUUUUUGAUGAAUCUGACAAAGUAUAAUGUUCUCAAAGUCUUGCAUGAUCUGUUUUAUAUGUUAUGUUUUAUAUUAAUUGUAUAUUUGACAUUAUUAUAAGCUUUACAAGUAUUUAUAUUAUUAAUGAUAAAUUUAAUGCAUUUAUUUUUUAUAUAUUUUUAAUGCAAAUUUAUUA
This is a non-coding RNA of Hydra vulgaris (swiftwater hydra), 752 nucleotides long. The record is from RefSeq and is a predicted model, not a curated record. NCBI's taxonomy places the organism in Eukaryota, Metazoa, Cnidaria, Hydrozoa, Anthoathecata, Hydridae.